GAACAGGCAGCGUCUACACACCAGCAGGCCUGGCACAGACUUACAGGAAACAAUGUUAACCCCAGGAACAAGAGGGAAGACAGGAGCAGUGACCCAGGAACUUGAGGGCUACUGCAAAACAGCUCUGGAGAAGUGCCACACCACCCAGGCAAGGGGAAGAGGAGGAACAGGAAAGAAUGUGUCUUCUUCCUCCGGGCCUGCUGCAGCCCCGGGGAGAUCCUGAAAGAAAAAGUUCCAGUGAGCAUGGCUUCAGAAGAAAGCCCAGCACGUGAAGCGAUCCAUUGGCAGAGCCAGCCUUCUGAACAGGUGGCGGGACAGUCAACUAACAGCUGUAAGCCUCACACUCAAAAGGCUUCUUUGACCCACACCCUAUCCCCAGCUUUGAGCACCACAGUCUCCCAAGAUAAAGAACAUCACUGCUUCCAUUCACUGAAAACAAUAUUUCUCAAAACCAUCAAAUGCAACCCAGGACAUUCUAGACACGGAAGGCAACAGGCCCGGUGAAAUGUAAGCCUUGGAACAACUGAGUACUCUGGAGUGGUAUCAGCUCCUGUGUGUGGGAUCCCAAAAGGCCAUGGCCCCCCGUGAAGCUUAUUGUUUUGCUAGGGCCACUGAGACAAAGUACCAUAAACUGAGUGGCUUCAAC
RNAcentral lists this long non-coding RNA (646 nucleotides) under Rattus norvegicus (Norway rat). Its description in RNAcentral is "long non-coding RNA NONRATT016169". The record is from RNAcentral. Lineage: Eukaryota; Metazoa; Chordata; Mammalia; Rodentia; Muridae.